This 513-nucleotide ribosomal RNA is filed under the name uncultured bacterium. RNAcentral's name for it is "partial 16S ribosomal RNA". It matches the Rfam family "Bacterial small subunit ribosomal RNA", at positions 30 to 523 of the family's 1533-position model. The record is from RNAcentral.
AUUGAACGCUGGCGGCAUGCCUAACACAUGCAAGUCGAACGGCAGCACAGUAAAGAUUUCGGUCUUUAUGGGUGGCGAGUGGCGGACGGGUGAGUAAUGCGUAGGAAUCUGUCCUGGAGAGUGGGAUAACCCGAGGAAACUCGGGCUAAUACUGCAUGAUAUCGAGAGAUCAAGGGCAGGGGAACCUUCGGGGCCUUGCGCUCUAGGAUGAGCCUACGUCGGAUUAGCUAGUUGGUGGGGUAAAGGCCUACCAAGGCGACGAUCCGUAGCUGGUCUGGGAGGAUGACCAGCCACACUGGGACUGAGACACGGCCCAGACUCCUACGGGAGGCAGCAGUGGGGAAUCUUGGACAAUGGGGGAAACCCUGAUCCAGCGAUGCCGCGUGUGUGAAGAAGGCCUUCGGGUUGUAAAGCACUUUAGUUGGGGAAGAAAAGUAAUGAGCGAAUAACUGAUUGCUCUGACGGUACCCAAAGAAUAAGCACCGGCUAACUCUGUGCCAGCCGCCGCCGUAA